GUAUGUGCUCCUAAUUGGGCUGUGACAUCUGUGUCCCAUUAAUUAAUUGCCACAGUUGACUCAGCUGAUCUAGUUGGCUAGGUGGGUGUUCCCCUCCUCCCCCACUGUUCCAAAUGCAUCUCUCCCAAAGUUGCACACUCAGAGAGUAUUAGCUUCCCCAAUAGAGGUGGACUGUUCUUCUGUCAAAGGUUUUUGAACAUGUGCACUCCCCUGCUAGAACUUCCAAACCUGAUGGGAAUAUGACCAACAUACCAUAGGCUCAUACAGUAAAGUACACAAUCAAUAAAAAAGUAGUAGAGAAAGGAAAGGAGGAGGGUACUU
Molecule: small nuclear RNA, 321 nt
Filed under: Jaculus jaculus (lesser Egyptian jerboa)
Lineage: Eukaryota; Metazoa; Chordata; Mammalia; Rodentia; Dipodidae
Description: 7SK RNA (ENSJJAG00000005996.1)
Rfam family: 7SK RNA
About the family: 7SK was discovered as an abundant small nuclear RNA in the mid-70s but a possible function has only recently been suggested.
Source: RNAcentral